This 610-nucleotide ribosomal RNA is filed under the name uncultured bacterium. RNAcentral's name for it is "bacterial SSU rRNA". The stretch from base 1 to 521 matches the Rfam family "Bacterial small subunit ribosomal RNA", at positions 338 to 873 of the family's 1533-position model. The record is from RNAcentral.
CCUACGGGAGGCAGCAGUGGGGAAUAUUGGGCAAUGGAGGAAACUCUGACCCAGCGACGCCGCGUGCGGGAUGAAGGCCUUCGGGUUGUAAACCGCUUUCAGUAGGGAAGAAGCGAAAGUGACGGUACCUACAAAAGAAGCACCGGCUAACUAUGUGCCUGCAGCCGCGGUAAUACAUAGGGUGCAAGCGUUGUCCGGAAUUAUUGGGCGUAAAGAGCUCGUAGGUCGUUUGUUACGUCGGAUGUGAAAACCUGAGGCUCAACCUCAGGCCUGCAUUCGAUACGGGCAAACUAGAGUUUGGUAGGGGAGACUGGAAUUCCUGGUGUAGCGGUGGAAUGCGCAGAUAUCAGGAGGAACACCAAUGGCGAAGGCAGGUCUCUGGGCCAAUACUGACACUGAGGAGCGAAAGUCUGGGGAGCGAACAGGAUUAGAUACCCUGGUAGUCCAGACCGUAAACGGUGGGCACUAGUUGUGGGAACCUUCCACGGUUUCUGCGACGCNGCUACGCAUAGUAGUCCGCCGUCGGAGGUACGAGUCGCGAGAGUUAAACGUUAAACGUAAAGUUAGUACGGUCGUGUAGAGUUGUCGACGACGACGACGAGGGAGGAGG